CCUACGGGGGGCAGCAGGGAGGAAUAUUGGUCAAUGGACGAGAGUCUGAACCAGCCAAGUAGCGUGAAGGAUGACUGCCCUAUGGGUUGUAAAAUUCUUUUAUAAAGGAAUAAAACGAGGCACGUGUGCCUUUUUGCAUGUACGUUAUGAAUAAGGAUCGGCUAACUCCGUGCCAGAAGCCGCGGUAAUACGGAGGAUCCGAGCGUUAUCCGGAUUUAUUGGGUUUAAAGGGAGCGUAGAUGGGUUGUUAAGUCCGUUGUGAAAGUUUGCGGCUCAACCGUAAAAUUGCAAUUGAUACUGGCAGUCUUGAGUACAGUUGAGGUAGGCGGCAUUCUUGGUGUAGCGGUGAAAUGCUUAGCUAUCACG
Molecule: ribosomal RNA, 366 nt
Filed under: uncultured bacterium
Lineage: Bacteria
Description: partial 16S ribosomal RNA
Rfam family: Bacterial small subunit ribosomal RNA
Source: RNAcentral